Molecule: ribosomal RNA, 497 nt
Filed under: uncultured bacterium
Lineage: Bacteria
Description: partial 16S ribosomal RNA
Rfam family: Bacterial small subunit ribosomal RNA
Source: RNAcentral
GAUGAACGCUGGCGGCGUGCCUAAUACAUGCAAGUCGAGCGAACAGACGAGGAGCUUGCUCCUCUGACGUUAGCGGCGGACGGGUGAGUAACACGUGGAUAACCUACCUAUAAGACUGGGAUAACUUCGGGAAACCGGAGCUAAUACCGGAUAAUAUAUUGAACCGCAUGGUUCAAUAGUGAAAGACGGUUUUGCUGUCACUUAUAGAUGGAUCCGCGCCGCAUUAGCUAGUUGGUAAGGUAACGGCUUACCAAGGCAACGAUGCGUAGCCGACCUGAGAGAGUGAUCGGCCACACUGGAACUGAAACACGGUCCAGACUCCUACGGGAGGCAGCAGUAGGGAAUCUUCCGCAAUGGGCGAAAGCUUGACGGAGCAACGCCGCGUGAGUGAUGAAGGUCUUCGGAUCGUAAAACUCUGUUAUUAGGGAAGAACAAAUGUGUAAGUAACUAUGCACGUCUUGACGGUACCUAAUCAGAAAGCCACGGCUAACUACGUG